AGCUGACCAUGGAAGCGAACGGGUUAGGACCUCAGGGUUUUCCAGAGCUGAAGAAUGACACAUUCCUGCGAGCAGCCUGGGGAGAGGAAACAGACUACACUCCCGUUUGGUGCAUGCGCCAGGCAGGCCGUUACUUACCAGAGUUUAGGGAAACCCGGGCUGCCCAGGACUUUUUCAGCACGUGUCGCUCUCCUGAGGCCUGCUGUGAACUGACUCUGCAGGUGAGGGGUCCACAAAAGAGGGAAAGAUUUAUGCCUUCAGUCUUCCACCUAGCAACCUGUCUCCUGUUUCCUACAGCCACUGCGUCGCUUCCCUCUGGAUGCUGCCAUCAUUUUCUCCGACAUCCUUGUUGUACCCCAGAUGUUUUCUCCUUCUCCAGGCACUGGGCAUGGAGGUGACCAUGGUACCUGGCAAAGGACCCAGCUUCCCAGAGCCAUUAAGAGAAGAGCAGGACCUAGAAUGCCUACGGGAUCCAGAAGUGGUAGCCUCUGAGCUAGACUAUGUGUUCCAAGCCAUCACCCUUACCCGACAACGACUGGCUGGACGUGUGCCGCUGAUUGGCUUUGCUGGUGCCCCAUGGACCCUGAUGACAUACAUGGUUGAGGGUGGUGGCUCAAGCACCAUGGCUCAGGCCAAGCGCUGGCUCUAUCAGAGACCUCAGGCUAGUCACCAGCUGCUUCGCAUCCUCACUGAUGCUCUGGUCCCAUAUCUGGUAGGACAAGUGGCGGCUGGUGCCCAG
Molecule: small RNA, 739 nt
Filed under: Pongo abelii (Sumatran orangutan)
Lineage: Eukaryota; Metazoa; Chordata; Mammalia; Primates; Hominidae
Description: processed transcript
Source: RNAcentral